This 409-nucleotide ribosomal RNA is filed under the name uncultured bacterium. RNAcentral describes it as "bacterial SSU rRNA". It matches the Rfam family "Bacterial small subunit ribosomal RNA", at positions 50 to 454 of the family's 1533-position model. The record is from RNAcentral.
AAGACAUGCAAGUCGAACGGUUUUUAUUGAAGCGCAAGCAGAUAUAAAAGCAGUGGCGAACGGGUGAGUAAUGCGUGACCGACCUGCCCCAUACACCGGAAUAGCUCCUGGAAACGGGUGGUAAUGCCGGAUGCUCCAGUUGAUCGCAUGGUCUUCUGGGAAAGCUUUCGCGGUAUGGGAUGGGGUCGCGUCCUAUCAGCUUGACGGCGGGGUAACGGCCCACCGUGGCUUCGACGGGUAGCCGGCCUGAGAGGGCGACCGGCCACAUUGGGACUGAGAUACGGCCCAGACUCCUACGGGAGGCAGCAGUGGGGAAUAUUGCACAAUGGGCGCAAGCCUGAUGCAGCGACGCCGCGUGAGGGAUGGAGGCCUUCGGGUUGUAAACCUCUUUUAUCGGGGAGCAAGCGAG